GAAGGGGAGGAGGAGGACUCUGAAAGACGCCUCCUGUGGAGCAGGCUACGACACAAAGAAAUGCUGCUAACACCAGAUGACCAACUCCUUUCCAGUUACGGACCAUCCCGGUGAUGAGACCUCCAUAUGUUGUCUGAUGGCCGCAGUUCCUUGGUGUCUACAUCUCUUAGGAAGAAGAGAAUAAUGAGAUGAUGUAUGCAGAGCACUGGCAGAAAGCCUAGCAUAGAGGAAUCUGAGGAUUCGCCAUGCAUGCUUCCUGGUAUAUAGUACUAGUUCUUGUCAAUGGCACAGAGACUUGAAGACUGUAUAUAAAUGGACACACCUACUAGAAUGAAUGGAAACCCACACUGCUGUUGUGAAGACACCUGAUGAAACUCCAGCAACUUCUACAUCUGGCCUGCUGCUUAGUCCUGGGACCUGAGGUCAAAAUCUUAGAAAAGAGCCAUGUGAGAUGCAUUCCCUGGCCUCAUCUCUGUUCUUGGAUGCUGUCAGCAACACUCCUUGAGUUUUUACCCACAUAAUAACACUUUCCUCAGCAUGGAUGUGGAGGUGGGGGUGAGGAAUGUUCUAUUUUUCCUUCGAUGGUUACGCCCUCACCCUACCAACUCAGUAAAAGGGGAGUGGUCAGGGG
RNAcentral lists this long non-coding RNA (631 nucleotides) under Pan troglodytes (chimpanzee). RNAcentral describes it as "long non-coding RNA NONPTRT013749". The record is from RNAcentral. Lineage: Eukaryota; Metazoa; Chordata; Mammalia; Primates; Hominidae.